UCUAAGGAUGUUUCUAGCAACUUAAGCUUGCUUUUGUUCGUGAAACACUUAGCAGAUUGGCAAACAAAGCCGAUCGUAUAUCGAACCGGACUGUCCUCAUAUCUCUUCACUAUACAUCAGACCUACCGGUCUGUACUGGGUCGGUAGCUCAGGUGGUUAGAGCGCACGCCUGAUAAGCGUGAGGUCGGAGGUUCAAGUCCUCCUCGACCCACCAUUAACGCGUCUAUUUUAAGAUAUGGCGUGUAGGGGGCCUUAGCUCAAAUGGGAGAGCGCCUGAUUUGCAUUCAGGAGGUCAGCGGUCAUCCGCUAGGCUCCACCAUAUAACAACUUUUGAUCAGAUCGCGAAGCACAAUGGUUUGUGUUUCGCCGUCCGAUUGGACGCAUUGACAUCGUUUAGAGAGAUACAAAUAUCAACAUUGUUUGAUCGCCCGAAGUAGCGGGAUGAUCUCAAUUUGGUGAAGCAAGUUUAGGCUUGUGGAGAGCUUUUGGAUCCACCCUUUUCCUCGGGUGCCCUUAAGUAUGCUGGGUUGAAACGAACAUGUUGUCCAAGUCAAGUACACUAACCCGAGCAGCAGUAAUGUUGCUCAACAGUUCAAACACACCGACAUGUGUUUGAGCGGGAAAGUAUGACUUUUGACCGGAAGAUGAGAUGCCUGGUGAACCAGCUUGGCAUCAUUCAGACGCAAGUCUGACUUUUUCU
Molecule: transfer RNA, 700 nt
Filed under: uncultured marine bacterium
Lineage: Bacteria
Description: 16S-23S ribosomal RNA intergenic spacer
Rfam family: tRNA (bases 138-211)
Source: RNAcentral